This 253-nucleotide ribosomal RNA is filed under the name uncultured bacterium. RNAcentral's name for it is "partial 16S ribosomal RNA". It matches the Rfam family "Bacterial small subunit ribosomal RNA", at positions 524 to 776 of the family's 1533-position model. The record is from RNAcentral.
UACGGGGGGGGCAAGCGUUGUUCGGAAUUACUGGGCGUAAAGGGCUCGUAGGCGGCCAACUAAGUCGGAUGUGAAAUCCCCAGGCUCAACCUGGGAACUGCAUCCGAUACUGGAUGGCUUGAAUUCGGGAGAGGGAUGCAGAAUUCCAGGUGUAGCGGUGAAAUGCGUAGAUAUCAGGAGGAACACCGGUGGCGAAGGCGGAUCUCUGGGCCUUACCUGACGCUCAGGCGCGAAAGCUAGGGGAGCGAACCGG